This is a long non-coding RNA of Lolium perenne, 524 nucleotides long. RefSeq lists it as uncharacterized. The record is from RefSeq and is a predicted model, not a curated record. NCBI's taxonomy places the organism in Eukaryota, Viridiplantae, Streptophyta, Magnoliopsida, Poales, Poaceae.
CUGCAACCUGGCAGGGUUGCAACCUAGCAGGCCUGUGACCGCUCUGACCAUCAAUUAUGGAGUACUACUUGGUUUUGUGCCCUUUGAUGAUGCGCAUAUGAUUUAUGGGCAGCAGGUGUAUCCUCUUUCUACACAUAAUGAGUAUUGCCUUUGGUCACAGGUAUCCUACCCAAUGGAAUUGCUGUUUGGCUUGGAUUCUAGGCUGAUCUGGUAAAACAUAGGGCGAAGGAUGAUAGUAUAUAUAUGAAAGCCUAUGCAAUAUGUAGUGCCCUUGAAGUAUAUGUCAAUGGCAAGGUAUAAUGCUCUGUAGUAUAUGUUAGUAUCAUUCUGGUACUGCUGUGAUAAUUAGCAAGCAUAGCUUAGUUCUUUGUUCAGGCUGCUCCUAAAUUUCCUUCAUGUAUGCAUCUUUUGUCUAUGUAAAUAUGUAAGUUUGUGUGACGCUUUGUUCAGGUUUGAUCCACCUUUCCAUCAGAUGUUCUUUCAUGUAAGAAUGUUGGUCUAUGUAAAGAGCUUCAGGCUCUCAA